UGCCAGACUCCUACGGGAGGCAGCAGUGGGGAAUAUUGCACAAUGGGGGAAACCCUGAUGCAGCGACGCCGCGUGAGUGAAGAAGUAAUUCGUUAUGUAAAGCUCUAUCAGCAGGGAAGAAAAUGACGGUACCUGAGUAAGAAGCCCCGGCUAGCUACGUGCCAGCAGCCGCGGUAAUACGUAGGGGGCAAGCGUUAUCCGGAUUUACUGGGUGUAAAGGGAGCGUAGACGGCAGUGCAAGUCUGGAGUGAAAGGCGGGGGUUCAACCCCCGGACUGCUCUGGAAACUGUAUAGCUGGAGUGCAGGAGAGGUAAGUGGAAUUCCUAGUGUAGCGGUGAAAUGCGUAGAUAUUAGGAGGAACACCGGCGGCGAAGGCGGCCUGCUGGACCGUAACUGACGUUGAGGCUCGAAAGCGUGGGGAGCAAACAGGAUUAGAUACCCGAGUAC
RNAcentral lists this ribosomal RNA (447 nucleotides) under uncultured bacterium. RNAcentral describes it as "bacterial SSU rRNA". It matches the Rfam family "Bacterial small subunit ribosomal RNA", at positions 329 to 793 of the family's 1533-position model. The record is from RNAcentral.